Portunus trituberculatus (swimming crab) is the source of this 577-nucleotide long non-coding RNA. RefSeq lists it as uncharacterized. Lineage: Eukaryota; Metazoa; Arthropoda; Malacostraca; Decapoda; Portunidae. The transcript has 4 exons. The record is from RefSeq and is a predicted model, not a curated record.
CCCUCAGCAGUAUUCGAUCCGCCCAGCAGCAGUAACGGUUAUGAGAAGGCGGUCAUUGAAGUGUCAACUCCCCAAGCUGGCACCGUGGUGGGUGUUGUGCUGGGCUCCCUUGGGGUUCUUUGCCUAGCUGUUGGGUGUACAGAUGCUUGUCAAGUUUCUGAAGAUACGUCGACGUGUUAUCAUCCACGCAAGCUUCCCCAACCCAACCAGUGUACCACAAGACAACAGGUAGGACAGGAGGACAAGAAAAGGGAGUGAGCGGCUGCAUGCACUAUUGAACGGGACAGCAUUACAUUCUUCCCACAGUUGUAUGACAACACUGAAGCAAGCCCAGAAUAAAGUGUUGAGUGACCAUGAUUACUACUAACGCUAAAGAAGUGAGGGAAGUGUUUGGAGUGAGCGUGCAAGACGUACAACAGACAACAGACUGCUACUGCCGGUGUAGCCAAAGGAACAAGAGGAGGCAGAGGAGGAGGAGGAAGAAGAUGAGGAACAAGAGAGUGAUUCUUGGAGACGUACCAAUGAAGUUCUGCAGGAUUCAGUACUACUAACGAGAAAGAAGUGAGGCAAGUUUUUG